GGGCAUAAUUUCCGGUUCCCGCGCGGCGCUCCAAAGCUCGGGGAGUGGUGGUCUCCUUUUCCCGGAUUCAGUUGUGGGAGUUAGGGUCUUAUCCUGAUCUUCCCUCGUACCCCGCUCCCCCGUCCUCCGAGGUGGCACUUGCGCAGAAGUCUGAAACUUUUUUUUUUCUUGGUGUUCCAUAAUGGAGACUGAAGUGUACCCAGAGACACAAAGAAAUACAGACAUCCAGAAUGAUCAAAUGAGAUCACUACCCAAUGAAACAAUGGGCCGAGCAGCCAGAAGUUGUCCUACUACCUGUUUUCCAGGUCCAGAUUCCACGGGAGCCUUCUGGGCUCCCGCCAGACAGCCUCAGUGAAGACUCUGUUGAAGACUUUAAGACCAUGCUAGAAAGCCUCCAGAGGUUCAGGAAGUUCCGCUGUGAGGAUGCAGCUGGCCCCAGGGAUGUCCUCAUCCGGCAUCUCCUGGACCUUUCUAGUCGGUGGUUGAGACCUGAUAUUCACACAAAGAAGCAGAUUGUGGGAAUGCUGGUGCAGGAGCAAUUCCAGGCUGUCCUGCCCGAGGAGCUCAGAGCUCAAGCACAGAGAUGUCAGCCUGGAAUCAGAAUCACUGGCUAAGUCUUGCUGCUUGCUUCUUGCUCAGCCUGCAUAUGAGACGUCAACCUAAGUGUUCUCUUGGAUGCAAGAUUCAACUCACCUGUGGGAAAUCUGAACUUCCACUUUCUUUGAGCUUGUCUUUGACUGGUUGUAACAAGAAUCCAUCAAAACCCAUGUUUGGAUCUCUUUUUGGCUGAGGCAACUUUAUUUCCUACGGAAAGAGUUUCUCUGUCCUCGUUAGGACAAUCGGCCUGCUGCUUUGGGCUUUUCCAAGAGCCUAUUUUUCAUCUGGUUGCCUCUUUUUUUGCACUUUGUGACAUGCUUUAAUAUAUUGUUUUUAUGUAUCCAAAGAGGUAAUCAGCUUUAACUUUCAGAAUUCGUGAAUCUUGGUUUGGUGGCAUGAAUGAAAGCUUAUGUAACCCCACCAGUAACUCAUUUGGGGUACCCUUGAAAUAUUAAAGUUUGGUCCUCAAUAAAUAUGUCCUGUGGUGAUUAAUCAGUUAGCGCUUAGUAGUCAGCAAUUGGAGACAGGUGAGAUAAUUAUCAGGCGCAGAUGAGAGCUAGUGAUAAGAACUAUGGCUGUGGUGUUUGUUGCGCUGUGAAAUAGGAAGUCCUGGCCUUUGUUUUCAAAGUCAAGAUUUAGAUUGGACAGAACUGAGAAUGGGGUCAAACAGGGUCAUAAGAGUCCGCAGGGAUCCGGAACUCCUGGUAUUCAGGAAUUUCCUGGCCUCCAUCAGUUUCUCAGCUGCUUCAAUGAUGUAGGAUUUGGUCUGUGAGUAAAGGACCUGGCUUUACAGGUGGACUCAGAUUUUCACCUCAGAGAUUUUAUGACACGACAACUGAGGUUCCUUGCUUCCUUCCUUCCUUCCUUCCUUUUC
Long non-coding RNA from Piliocolobus tephrosceles (Ugandan red Colobus), 1471 nucleotides. RefSeq lists it as uncharacterized. NCBI's taxonomy places the organism in Eukaryota, Metazoa, Chordata, Mammalia, Primates, Cercopithecidae. The record is from RefSeq and is a predicted model, not a curated record. The transcript is spliced from 3 exons.